CAAAAUAGGCAGGAGAGGGCACUAUCGAACCGAUCAUUGUUUUCGAUUCGUAUUGAUAAAUGUUAUUAAUUCAAAUAAAUUUUCCUUUCUUGCACAAACAUCUAACUGUUAUGUACACUUUCUUUAAGAAGUAGCAAUCAAAUCAUCAUGGACAAAAAAUUUGAAUUUGCAAUUGGUGCUAUGUGUACGGAUUCCAUGUUUUGGUCGUCCUCAUUGUCCGCAUCAUGUACUUCAUCCUCAACCUGCUGGUGUCCUUCGUGCAAGUGAUCGGCAGCGUCAUAGUUGUCUAGUUAUCAGUGUCCGUCCAAACCUCCCUCGUGCUGCAGUACAGAGAGAAACAAAAUAGUGAGAGAAAAGAGCAGUAGAGAGAAACAAAUUAGAGGUGAGCUAAAAAACAUUAAAUUAUCCUAAUAAAUUCCUAUUGUCAGUAAUAUCCAUAGUGAAGCUUGGCUCUAUAUAGUACUGAUCAGUACUAGUAUUCUGUAAGUCGUAAUGAUCAAUACUCCUACUUUGUCUUACUAAUGAGCACUCAUACUGAUCUAGCUAACACAACAAAUUUUUCAUCUAGUGGACUUUUAACAUUAUAUUAGAAAACUUGAGCUAUAAAAUCCCACAUUUGUUAUACUUGAAAACUAUACCCAGACUAGGCACCCCCCAAAUCUCACACAACAAAGCAUGUUAUAUAUAUUUUUCACGAAUGAUUGUUCACGUACUGAACUGAGAGCACCUAGUUUGUGUUUCAGGAAUUAAAAUAGAUGUCCUGAGCACCCCGUUUCAGCAAAUGUUUGUGCUAUAAUUCAACAAUAGAGAAUACAGAUAAGCAAACACCUAUUUUUAUGGAGAAUAUACCAUUUUUGACGGCCUUCAUGUGACCAGCGGUGCUGGAGGUGAUCUCGUGUCUCCUGCUGCUGCUGCAGGUCGACGAGGACUUGUACAGCGGUAGAGUUUUUGCAAAGUGAACUGAUACCUUUUCUAGCCUGAGAAAUGCAGAAAAUUAGCAAAAGUGAACCACCAAAUUCUAUAUAGAAGUGCAUAAAUUAAGACAUCAAAAGUUUAAACAAAGUAGGUGGAGUUUUUUUAAUACAUUAGCAUUUGAACUUUUAUUAGUUCUUGUCCUCAAAACAAAGUAGCUUGAUUUUUUAACCACCGCAAAUAAACUCUUAAAUACUUAUGGCAAGUAUAUUUGAACUGAUGUAUCCUUUUUCUAGUUACUGAUUGCCAACCAGCCCAAACAAACUCUGAAGUACUUAUGGCGAGUAUUUUUCAACUGAUGUAUCUUCUUUCUAGUUAAUAAAUUGCUAUACUAGAGUACUACAUCCUUGGAAAUGAAAUACCAACAUCAUUGGUUGUGUAAAAACACUCAAAAGAAUGGCUUGUUGUACUGUAUUUUUAUAGUACAAAUUGUACUAAACUUAACUAAUUUCGCACUGGAAUUUAAAACAUCAUACAUACGCGUUAAGUAAUGCAAACAUAGCAAACUCAAAAUUUCUGUAGUCUAUAAAAUAUAGGAAACCCAAAAUUUCCUAACGAGUGCAUUUGCGUGGAGUUACCUACUGAACUUCUAGGCUGACAUUGGUUCUCCUGUUUUCUUUACACAACCAACUUCGUGUUUUUUAUAAGCGAACUGAAUGGAAAACUUGAUGGUGCACUUCUGUAAUUUGUUCAAGGUGAACUGAUGCACUUGCAAAGUUAACUUAUUAUGUUCCUUUUUCAUACUGAAUUGAUGUCUGUUCACAAAAUGAAAAGGUUAAAGGUGUGAACAUUCAGUACAUUUGUAACUUAGCUAGCGCCGCACUAGAACUGACAUAAUAAGUUAAGUUAUCAAUAGUGAUCCAUCGAUGCAAGCUUAGUUCUUAGGUUACAAAUUUGUAAAUACUAGUACUGCUACCAGCAUUUAUAAAUACUAGCGAACUUGAACUUGUGGUCGAUCGAGAUCGGAACUUAUUGUGUUACAAGCACAAAUACAAAAUCCAAUGAAGGUGAUAUAAGUACAUGUUAGAAAGAUAAUCAAGUUCAGGUAUAUUAAUUGGGAGAAGUUCAAAAAGAAACUUUUAAAACGUUUGUAUUAAAAAUAUGUGUACUACAUAACAUCUGUACUCACUAUGACGAUGUGUUUGUACGGCUCCACUGCCAGUGAAGAAUCUCUUACCGUCAUGCUAUCUAAGUGAAGAUGUGAACCUUCCAAAAUAUUGGAACUGACAUGACAAGUAACAACAGUAGAAAGUGUUGUAAUAAUAUUUUUUUCCUUGUAGCUUUUUUGGAGCAAGAAGUUUGAUCAUGUGGCGAUGAUUUUUCUUUUGCAGACACUAAAUAUUUGAACCUUUUGUGCAAGUAUGUUUGAACUAGGGAGAAGAGAGCAUAACAAGGGAAGUGAAGCAAUGACAUGCGGUACAGAAAUUUUCUUCUCAUAAACAUGCACAUCUUUUUUACUUUUUCGAUAUAGAAAUUCCUGACAAAGGUUCAAUAUGAAAUAAGAGAAUACCAAACAUUUGUUUUGAGGGGAAAAUUAACUACACAAGAAAUUUUCAUUUUUAGUCAGCUUUUUUUUCAUCGAUCAGCUUCUGUGCAACUUGAUUUUGACCUAAGAAACAAAUGAAAAUGAAGUGGAGCAGAGAGAAUUAGGGUCAAUUGAGGUAGUUACUAAGAAGGAGUGUGAACCUUUAUCUACUGAACUUUUCAAAGUUUUAAGCUUGAACUUCUGUUCUUCUUUUAAGUACUGACACUACACAAAGCUUCUUUUAAGUUUUGAGUGUGAACUAUUUGUGUCCUGGCUCAGACAUUUUCCACAAACAAAUGACAUGCAGAAAUUGUAGGUUUUGCUUUUACCUCGACGCUUUUCUGGACUUCCAAAAUAAACUCUGGUACAUGUGCUUGUUAUCAGGCAUAACCACAAGCACUAUAGAAAGAACAUGGGAACACAAAGGAAAUUGGACUUAUGAUCGGGGAAGUUGAUGCACUAAAAAGCAAUCAAAAGAUGAACUGAAAACAAUUGAUGCUCUUCAAAAGCAUUCGGGAGAGAUAACAGCUUCAAGCUGUUUUUUGGGUGCUCUUCUAUUAGCAGACUAGUAACCGACCAUCUACCAUGUGCAUGUAGGGAAUGAGAGUUGUUCCAUAUAUCUAUAUGAACAUACAUAUUGCAUAGGAUUGCAUCUAAUUACUCUCUCCAUCUACUAUAGUAAUACAUCUAUAGAGAAGGAAAGUCGAGUAGUUCUAUGUUAAAUGAUUCCAACCGAAAUUCACAUUUUCUUUUAACAAAACCAAACUUCUUGAAUGAACUUCUUUAGGUUUAUGUGUUUGAACCUACAAUCUUUCCAAACAAGUACUUAGCUCGCUUUUCUUUUUUCCUUCAUGAUGGGAUCAGAAGUGCAAAAGCAGCACAACAUGGAAGCAAUAACACAAGGAUCAAUCGGGGCAAACAACAGAACACAGAACUAAAUAGAUAAAUGUGCUUACAGAAAAUCUGCAUCUUCUCAAUGGGCAUGACGCCGGCAAUACUUCGUGCACCGGAGAACCUGCACUACUGGAUACGUCGAGAGAGGACUGAGGGCAGCACGUCCCCAUGUGUUUAUUUU
This 3572-nucleotide long non-coding RNA is filed under the name Triticum aestivum (bread wheat). Its description in RNAcentral is "long non-coding RNA (TAES_LNC025633)". The record is from RNAcentral. Lineage: Eukaryota; Viridiplantae; Streptophyta; Magnoliopsida; Poales; Poaceae.